GGUGAGAUGGCCGAGUUGGUUAUGGCGCCAGGUUAAGGUUCACGCCUUAGCAUUACAUCCUGGUAGGGAAACCUGCGUGGGUUCAAGUCCCACUCUCAUCA
Molecule: transfer RNA, 101 nt
Filed under: Terfezia boudieri ATCC MYA-4762
Lineage: Eukaryota; Fungi; Ascomycota; Pezizomycetes; Pezizales; Pezizaceae
Rfam family: tRNA
About the family: Transfer RNA (tRNA) molecules are approximately 80 nucleotides in length. Their secondary structure includes four short double-helical elements and three loops (D, anti-codon, and T loops). Further hydrogen bonds mediate the characteristic L-shaped molecular structure. tRNAs have two regions of fundamental functional importance: the anti-codon, which is responsible for specific mRNA codon recognition, and the 3' end, to which the tRNAs corresponding amino acid is attached (by aminoacyl-tRNA synthetases). tRNAs cope with the degeneracy of the genetic code in two manners: having more than one tRNA (with a specific anti-codon) for a particular amino acid; and 'wobble' base-pairing, i.e. permitting non-standard base-pairing at the 3rd anti-codon position.
Source: Rfam by way of RNAcentral